UAGCCUUGACAUUGAUAGAAUACACCAGAGAUGGAGUAGUGCCUUUCGGGGAACUUGAAAACAGGUGCUGCACGGCUGUCGUCAGCUCGUGUCGUGAGAUGUUGGGUUAAGUCCCGCAACGAGCGCAACCCUCGUCCUUAGUUGCCAGCAGGUUAAGCUGGGCACUCUAAGGAGACUGCCUUCGUAAGGAGGAGGAAGGUGAGGACGACGUCAAGUCAUCAUGGCCCUUAUGGCUAGGGCUACACACGUGCUACAAUGGGGCGUACAGAGUGUUGCGAUACCGCGAGGUGGAGCUAAUCUAUAAACCUAAUCUCAGUUCGGAUAGCAGUCUGCAACUCGACUGCUUGAAGCUGGAAUCACUAGUAAUCGUAAAUCAGCUAUGUUACGGUGAAUACGUUCCCGGGUCU
This 407-nucleotide ribosomal RNA is filed under the name uncultured bacterium. RNAcentral's name for it is "bacterial SSU rRNA". It matches the Rfam family "Bacterial small subunit ribosomal RNA", at positions 976 to 1381 of the family's 1533-position model. The record is from RNAcentral.